GACGAACGCUGGCGGCGUGCUUAACACAUGCAAGUCGAACGGAAAGGCCCUGCUUUUGUGGGGUGCUCGAGUGGCGAACGGGUGAGUAACACGUGAGUAACCUGCCCUUGACUUUGGGAUAACUUCAGGAAACUGGGGCUAAUACCGGAUAGGAGCUCCUGCUGCAUGGUGGGGGUUGGAAAGUUUCGGCGGGUGGGGAUGGACUCGCGGCUUAUCAGCUUGUUGGUGGGGUAGUGGCUUACCAAGGCUUUGACGGGUAGCCGGCCUGAGAGGGUGACCGGCCACAUUGGGACUGAGAUACGGCCCAGACUCCUACGGGAGGCAGCAGUGGGGAAUAUUGCACAAUGGGCGGAAGCCUGAUGCAGCAACGCCGCGUGCGGGAUGACGGCGUUCGUGUUGUAAACCGCUUUCGCCUGUGACGAAGCGUGAGUGACGGUAAUGGGUAAAGAAGCACCGGCUAACUACGUG
Molecule: ribosomal RNA, 468 nt
Filed under: uncultured bacterium
Lineage: Bacteria
Description: partial 16S ribosomal RNA
Rfam family: Bacterial small subunit ribosomal RNA
Source: RNAcentral